GGGCGCGUAGUUCAGUGGUACUUCGCUGGAAUUCCAAUGGUUUGCCGGAAGCACAACAGAAUGCACCGUUCGCAACGGUGAGAUCUCGGGUUCAAUCAGAUGUCACGUCAUCUGAAAGACGAAGCGACUUCGCAGAUUUGCUCAGUCGCGAAUAAUUUAGAGAGGUCGUGAAUCUUUGAAAAUCCCGACGCGUCCA
RNAcentral lists this transfer RNA (196 nucleotides) under Candidatus Woesearchaeota archaeon. RNAcentral describes it as "tRNA-Ala". The record is from RNAcentral. Lineage: Archaea; Nanobdellati; Candidatus Woesearchaeota.